RNAcentral lists this long non-coding RNA (300 nucleotides) under Elaeis guineensis (African oil palm). Its description in RNAcentral is "long non-coding RNA (EGUI_LNC025225)". Lineage: Eukaryota; Viridiplantae; Streptophyta; Magnoliopsida; Arecales; Arecaceae. The record is from RNAcentral.
CUAGCUCUUCUCAUCACAACUAAUGACAUAUAAUAGAUUAUUCAUGUUUUACAAGUACGAUAAUAGAUAUAGGUUAGCUUUGCGGGAUAGCAAAAAUAAAGUUUUUAUUGAUCUUAAAUGAUUUGAUCAUUGAAAUGAAAAAAAAAAAAUGUUCUUACUCAUUCAACUUAAAUCUCUCAAAAAUAGUAAUGGAAAAUAAAAGAAAUCCGAAAGAAAGAUUCCAUGUCAUAUUUUUUUCAUUAAUUCUAUGACAAAAUUGAUUACAGUAUUUUUAUUUAUGCUAGUGAGAUUUGUCCUUAC